CAGCCGUAAACUAUGCGCGUUAGGUGUACUGGUGACCACGAGUCACCGGGGUGCCGAAGGGAAACCGUGAAACGUGCCGCCUGGGAAGUACGGUCGCAAGGCUGAAACUUAAAGGGAAUUGGCGGGGGAGCACCACAACGGGUGGAGCCUGCGGUUUAAUUGGACUCAACGCCGGGAAGCUCACCGGAUAGGACAGCAGAAUGAUUGCCGGGCUGAAGACCCUGCAUGACUAGCUGAGAGGAGGUGCAUGGCGUCAGUGACU
Molecule: ribosomal RNA, 262 nt
Filed under: uncultured archaeon
Lineage: Archaea
Description: partial 16S ribosomal RNA
Rfam family: Archaeal small subunit ribosomal RNA
Source: RNAcentral